GACGAACGCUGGCGGCGUGCUUAACACAUGCAAGUCGAACGGUAAGGCCCUUCGGGGUACACGAGUGGCGAACGGGUGAGUAACACGUGGGUGAUCUGCCCUGCACUUCGGGAUAAGCCUGGGAAACUGGGUCUAAUACCGGAUAGGACUCCGGACUGCAUGGUCUGGGGUGGAAAGCUUUUGCGGUGUGGGAUGGGCCCGCGGCCUAUCAGCUUGUUGGUGGGGUGAUGGCCUACCAAGGCGACGACGGGUAGCCGGCCUGAGAGGGUGACCGGCCACACUGGGGCUGGGAUACGGACCAGACUCCUACGGGAGGCAGCAGUGGGGAAUAUUGCACAAUGGGCGCAAGCCUGAUGCAGCGACGCCGCGUGAGGGAUGACGGCCUUCGGGUUGUAAACCUCUUUCAGCACAGACGAAGCGCAAGUGACGGUAUGUGCAGAAGAAGGACCGGCCAACUACGUGCCAGCCGCCGCAGUAA
Molecule: ribosomal RNA, 478 nt
Filed under: uncultured bacterium
Lineage: Bacteria
Description: partial 16S ribosomal RNA
Rfam family: Bacterial small subunit ribosomal RNA
Source: RNAcentral